RNAcentral lists this ribosomal RNA (248 nucleotides) under uncultured Roseburia sp. Its description in RNAcentral is "partial 16S ribosomal RNA". It matches the Rfam family "Bacterial small subunit ribosomal RNA", at positions 524 to 771 of the family's 1533-position model. The record is from RNAcentral. Lineage: Bacteria; Bacillati; Bacillota; Clostridia; Lachnospirales; Lachnospiraceae.
UACGUAGGGGGCAAGCGUUAUCCGGAUUUACUGGGUGUAAAGGGAGCGCAGGCGGCGCGGCAAGUCUGAUGUGAAAGCCCGGGGCUCAACCCCGGGACUGCAUUGGAAACUGUCGAGCUGGAGUGUCGGAGGGGCAAGUGGAAUUCCUAGUGUAGCGGUGAAAUGCGUAGAUAUUAGGAGGAACACCAGUGGCGAAGGCGGCUUGCUGGACGACAACUGACGCUGAGGCGCGAAAGCGUGGGGAGCAA